UACGGAGGGAGCUAGCGUUGUUCGGAAUUACUGGGCGUAAAGGGCGCGCAGGCGGCCUUAGAAGUCAGAUGUGAAAGCCCCGGGCUCAACCUGGGAAUGGCAUUUGAUACUCUGAGGCUGGAGUACGGGAGAGGAGAGUGGAAUUCCCAGUGUAGAGGUGAAAUUCGUAGAUAUUGGGAAGAACACCGGUGGCGAAGGCGGCUCUCUGGACCGUAACUGACGCUGAGGCGCGAAAGCGUGGGGAGCAAACAGG
RNAcentral lists this ribosomal RNA (253 nucleotides) under uncultured bacterium. RNAcentral's name for it is "partial 16S ribosomal RNA". It matches the Rfam family "Bacterial small subunit ribosomal RNA", at positions 524 to 776 of the family's 1533-position model. The record is from RNAcentral.